UAUACACCGGUUUUAAACAGUAGUUUUAAACAGUUAACUGUGAAAGAAGUGACAUAUUAUCCAAAAUUUGAGGAACUAUACACACCUUUUAAAGUAGGAUCAAUUGUGCGCGAUACAUCAACGGCGUUCAUCGGCACAACUUCAGGAGCUGCGCAAACGGCGAGGGAUUUAGCAAUCGACUGUCCGGGGUCGUAUAUUACGUAUAGAGAACCUAUAUUUAUAGAGAAGGUCCAACAACGGACAAGCGUGUGAACUGUCAAAAGCUAACAAAAUGCGAUGAUCGUGUUUCACCACAGCUAGCUCAGAAGUAGAAAUAUUAACAGUGGCGCGUGAACAGAGCUGAGCAUUUAAUGAAAAUUUUGCUCAGAAAUAUACAUUGUUGGCCUUUUGCUUAUAUUUGUAUACGUUUACAUGCCAUCAUAUUAAUUGAUAUAAUUAUCAUUUUGCAAAUUUUUAUGAAUACAUAUAUGCAAAACUGAUAACAUUUUAAUUAACUUAUGCUAUUUUCAAAAUAUAUAUUUGUAGUUAGAUUA
This is a long non-coding RNA of Bactrocera neohumeralis, 533 nucleotides long. RefSeq lists it as uncharacterized. Lineage: Eukaryota; Metazoa; Arthropoda; Insecta; Diptera; Tephritidae. The record is from RefSeq and is a predicted model, not a curated record. The transcript has 2 exons.